UAAGCAUGCAAGUCGAACGGGAUUGGGGCCCUUCGGGGCCUCAUGAGAGUGGCGAACGGGUGAGUAACACGUAGGUGAUCUACCCUUGGGUGGGGAAUAGCCCAUGGAAACAUGGGAUAAUACCGCAUGAGGUCUUUGGGCGUGAAGCCCAUGGAUGAAAGGAGCAAUUGUUCCGCCUGGGGAUGAGCCUGCGGUCCAUUAGCUAGUUGGUGUGGUAAGGGCGCACCAAGGUGACGAUGGAUAGCCGGCCUGAGAGGGUGAACGGUCACACUGGGACUGAGACACGGCCCAGACUCCUACGGGAGGCAGCAGCUAAGAAUCUUCCGCAAUGGGGGAAACCCUGACGGAGCGACGCCGCGUGGGCGAAGAAGGCCGCAAGGUUGUAAAGCCCUUUUCUUGACGAAGAAUAAGGUCAGGAGUGGAACGCCUGGCCGAUGACGUUAGUCGAGGAAGAAGCCCCGGCCAAUUACGUGCCAGCAGCCGCGGUAACACGUAUGGGGCAAGCGUUGUUCGGAAU
RNAcentral lists this ribosomal RNA (517 nucleotides) under uncultured bacterium. RNAcentral describes it as "bacterial SSU rRNA". It matches the Rfam family "Bacterial small subunit ribosomal RNA", at positions 50 to 551 of the family's 1533-position model. The record is from RNAcentral.